RNAcentral lists this unclassified non-coding RNA (221 nucleotides) under Hevea brasiliensis (rubber tree). Lineage: Eukaryota; Viridiplantae; Streptophyta; Magnoliopsida; Malpighiales; Euphorbiaceae. The record is from RNAcentral.
UUAAGUAGUAAAACCAGACAAAACAUUACCACAAGGUAUUAUCAAACAAUAACCCAACAGAUCACCAGCUAAAUUUUUAAUUCAAGAUUCACGGGACUUCACAAUAAAGUUCUGGCGACUGAUUGGAUUCAUCACAACUGGUGGCCCUGCAGUACGAGGCCAUGCCUGGAAUUUCUUGUCAGUUUCUUCCCACCAUUCAUUGCUUGCAACAGUUUUAGGGG